This 600-nucleotide ribosomal RNA is filed under the name Staphylococcus aureus. RNAcentral's name for it is "partial 23S ribosomal RNA". It matches the Rfam family "Bacterial large subunit ribosomal RNA", at positions 2326 to 2925 of the family's 2925-position model. The record is from RNAcentral. Lineage: Bacteria; Bacillati; Bacillota; Bacilli; Caryophanales; Staphylococcaceae.
AAUGGUUGGAAAUCAUUCAUAGAGUGUAAAGGCAUAAGGGAGCUUGACUGCGAGACCUACAAGUCGAGCAGGGUCGAAAGACGGACUUAGUGAUCCGGUGGUUCCGCAUGGAAGGGCCAUCGCUCAACGGAUAAAAGCUACCCCGGGGAUAACAGGCUUAUCUCCCCCAAGAGUUCACAUCGACGGGGAGGUUUGGCACCUCGAUGUCGGCUCAUCGCAUCCUGGGGCUGUAGUCGGUCCCAAGGGUUGGGCUGUUCGCCCAUUAAAGCGGUACGCGAGCUGGGUUCAGAACGUCGUGAGACAGUUCGGUCCCUAUCCGUCGUGGGCGUAGGAAAUUUGAGAGGAGCUGUCCUUAGUACGAGAGGACCGGGAUGGACAUACCUCUGGUGUACCAGUUGUCGUGCCAACGGCAUAGCUGGGUAGCUAUGUGUGGACGGGAUAAGUGCUGAAAGCAUCUAAGCAUGAAGCCCCCCUCAAGAUGAGAUUUCCCAACUUCGGUUAUAAGAUCCCUCAAAGAUGAUGAGGUUAAUAGGUUCGAGGUGGAAGCAUGGUGACAUGUGGAGCUGACGAAUACUAAUCGAUCGAAGACUUAAUCAAAUU